This 601-nucleotide ribosomal RNA is filed under the name uncultured fungus. Its description in RNAcentral is "eukaryotic LSU rRNA". The stretch from base 222 to 375 matches the Rfam family "5.8S ribosomal RNA". The record is from RNAcentral. Lineage: Eukaryota; Fungi.
GUCGUAACAAGGUUUCCGUAGGUGAACCUGCGGAAGGAUCAUUAGUGAAUUUUAGGGUGCUUCUUGCUUUAACACGCAAGAAGGCCUGACCUCCACUCUCCAACACUGUGCACUUAUCGGCGAAAAGUAAGGGAAGCGGCUGUCACGGCUUGUGGAACUUCUUUUCGUGGCUUUACUUUAAAACACGAGUAAAAGAAUGUAAAAAAACCAUAACAAAAAAAAACUUUCAACAACGGAUCUCUUGGCUCUCGCAUCGAUGAAGAACGCAGCGAAAUGUGAUAAGUAAUGUGAAUUGCAGAAUUCAGUGAAUCAUCGAAUCUUUGAACGCACCUUGCGCUCUCUGGUAUUCCGGAGAGCAUGCCUGUUUGAGUGUCAUGAACUCUUCAACCCACCGGUUCCUUGUUGAACUGCUGUGGUGUUUGGAUUUUGAACGCUGCUAUGUAAUUAGCUCGCUCGUAAUACAUUAGCAUCUCAAUUUCGUAAUCGGAUUGACUCAGCGUAAUAGACUAUUCGCUGAGGACACUUUUUCAGAGUGGCCGAGACAUGAAAAGUUAGAAGCUUCAAACCCAUCUAGUCAUUCUUAAGAUAGACCUCAGUCAGC